This 460-nucleotide ribosomal RNA is filed under the name uncultured bacterium. RNAcentral describes it as "partial 16S ribosomal RNA". It matches the Rfam family "Bacterial small subunit ribosomal RNA", at positions 338 to 795 of the family's 1533-position model. The record is from RNAcentral.
CCUACGGGUGGCAGCAGUGAGGAAUAUUGGUCAAUGGACGAGAGUCUGACCCAGCCAAGUAGCGUGAAGGAUGACUGCCCUAUGGGUUGUAAACUUCUUUUAUAUGGGAAUAAAAUGUUCCACGUGUGGGAUUUUGUAUGUACCAUAUGAAUAAGGAUCGGCUAACUCGGUGCCAGCAGCCGCGGUAAUACGGAGGAUGCGAGCGUUCUCCGGAUUUAUUGGGUGUAAAGGGAGCGUAGGUGGAUUGUUAAGUCAGUUGUGAAAGUUUGCGGCUCAACCGUAAAAUUGCAGUUGAAACUGGCUGUCUAGAGUACAGUAGAGGUGGGCGGAAUUCGUGGUGUAGCGGUGAAAUGCUUAGAUAUCACGAAGAACUCCGAUGGCGAAGGCAGCUCACUGGACUGCAACUGACACUGAGGCUCGAAAGUGUGGGUAGCAAACAGGAUUAGAUACCCGAGUAGUC